Molecule: ribosomal RNA, 398 nt
Filed under: uncultured Glomeromycotina
Lineage: Eukaryota; Fungi; Glomeromycota
Description: SSU rRNA
Rfam family: Eukaryotic small subunit ribosomal RNA
Source: RNAcentral
AGCAGCCGCGGUAAAUUCCAGCUCCAAUAGCGUAUAUUAAAGUUGUUGCAGUUAAAAAGCUCGUAGUUGAAUUUCGGGAUCAAUUUAUCGGUCGUGCCUACGGUAUGAACUGGUACAAUUGGUUUCUCCCUUCUGACGAAGCAUGAUGUCAUUAAUUUGGUGUCGUGGGGAAUCAGGACUGUUACUUUGAAAAAAUUAGAGUGUUUAAAGCAAGCAUUAGCUUGAAUACAUUAGCAUGGAAUAAUGAAAUAGGACGUUUGAUCCUAUUUCGUUGGUUUCUAGGAUCGACGUAAUGAUUAAUAGGGAUAGUUGGGGGCAUUAGUAUUCAAUUGUCAGAGGUGAAAUUCUUGGAUUUAUUGAAGACUAACUACUGCGAAAGCAUUUGCCAAGGAUGUUUU